GAUAUAGAAUAGGGCCCUGAACACAGACCCAGCUGGCCGUGGGGUAACCAGGGACUUAAUUAGGUCGAAAGGCCUUAUCCAUAAUGGUUAGCUUUGUUUCAAAGUCAUCAGGUCUUCCAGUUACCAAAAUCCUUCACACUGAAAAACUAGUAACGCUAUAAAUAUGCCCCAUGCAUCAACCUCAUAGUGUCCAAUAUUUCCAUAAAUCGGUCAUAAGGAACACUGGGGCACAUCCUGAACUGGUAGAAGUAAGCAAAAUGCCACUUCUGUCUUCUUUCCUGCUUGUGUUUUAUGGAGUUACGUUUCUGAGUGAGACAAUCAGAGACCAUUGAGAGAUCUGUCUUUCCCGCUCCCUCCCCUUCAGUUCUAGCUCUCAAUCACCUCUCCUCUACAAUACACCUGAACAACUCUAUUUCAUCUCCACUUCCUGUUGACAGAGCUCUAGUUCUCACACACAUUGUCCUUAGAUCAUCAGACUGAACCCAAACCACACAGUGAAGUACAAAUGGUUGUGGUGGAAUUCACUUCCAGAGCUGACUCUUUGCUCAUUGGCAAACUCUAUAAGCCCAACCUUCUGAAAGCUUCAGACCAGCAAUGCUGGGGCUUGAUGCUGACUGGAGGGUAAGAGUGUCUCCAAGUGGAAAUCAAUGGGGGUUGCUCCUGCCCUGGGGGGUCAAGGUGUCAAGAUCUGGGAGUUCAAGGCAACCGAAGUUACAGGGAGGUUCACUCACAAACGAGGCUGGAGAGGCCCUAACACUAAAGAACAAAAGGAGAGAUUGUUUGGGUCUUGGGUUUUGCAAACUCAUCUGCUGGGAUGACCAAAGCCAAACCUGGGAUGGUUGAGAUAUGGGUGUUGUAGCAGAAAAAGCCUGAAACACAGGGCCUGGUACAAGAUGAGGCCUGAACCAAAAAUCAGCCAGUCAGACUAUGAGCAAGAGUCAGGCCCUGCUACAAAGCACAUGCCUGCUUACACCUUCACUGUCCAGUACAUGAACUUGGUAAGGAUGUGGCUGAUGUUGCUAAAACAGAGACACGCCGAAUAAAUACUAGGCACUAGUUAUUAACGAAAAACAUUCCAGAAGGGUAGAAUAAGAAUACCCCGCUACAGAGUUAUAGAAUAAUUACACUCCCCAAAGAUGUUACAAGGACACACUGACCCCUCCUAGGUUUCAAACCCACAGCUACAGGAUGGUAACUAACCACGUGAGAGGGGUAAUACACAACUUGUCUGUAUCAGUGUAUAAAAGAGGGGUCACGGAAGGUACAUCUGGCCAAGGGGGCAGUAGAAAGUCCCACUGCUGACUGAGCUGGUCCAUUCUCAUGCGCGUCCGUGUCGCAGUGUCCACGCAGAGUCUGGCCAAGCGCCUUUGCCACCGAACGAGUCUGUGGUCUUUCGGGCAGUUUGACUGAGGUCUGCUGGGCUAGCUAUCUGGCCAGAGCCAGGACAAUGUCUGGGCCCACACAGCCAAUAACAGGUGUCCUUUUAUCAGAGCCCCCAGCGAUCAUGGAAGGGUGGAGUGUUGGGUCUGGUAUCUGCCCUUCUCCAGCUAACACUGAAACCCCUGCCUGGAUUCCCCGGUACUGGAGGCGCUGGCUGUCAGUCCCCUGGUGGGUCUGCAGCGAUCGGCCUAGACCCCAAGAUGGAGGGCACAGCAUGGUGUCAUGAAAUGCAGCCAACAGGGUUAGUCCUGAGAGGGGCUGGGCACCUGCAGCUCCCACUGGUUCCUGAGGGAGAUGCAGGAACUCGGCCCUGCUCAGCAUUGGCCCACUGUGAUAGGAAGUGGAACAUUCCACCGUAGGGAUGGUGACCGAGACAAACCCAGAGGUAGAGGACAGGCAGGGGAAGGGAACUAUGACGUAAGCUUUCCCACUGCGUAAGUCCCACUCCAUCCAAGUCACAGGGAAAGGAGCCGUUCGUGAGCCUGGAACUCACUGUCACAGACAGAGCCCCAGCUGGUGACUCUAGAUCUGAAGUGUCAUUUGACUCAGAGUUCAGAGCCAGCCAGAGCUUUCCCCCUACAGUUCCCCUGGGAGGACAUGGGACGGGUCACUUUGCCCAGAUGAGGAGGUGGUGACAAUGACCCGCUACUCAGGUGUGAUGCAGUGAUUGUUGGAUCGGCCACCAGGGGCUGCAGCAUUUCACACCAGGAUGUCGCCCAGAACACAUGGCUGCUGUCCGUGGGUCUGAGUACAGGGACAAGGGUGAUGGAGCAGGGCCUUCUGUGACCAACCUGCUUCCAUUGCUAAAGAAGGGAACAUGAGACACAGAAGGAUGAAGGAAAGAAUUAUUGUAAGGAGGAAGGUAACAAGGCAGGCAGGAGGAAAUGAGGUAUUGAUAAGGAAGGAGAGGGGGUAAAUGAAGAAGUAAGUGAGAAAAACAUCAGAAAACUGAGGAAGGGACAGAGAAGAAAGAGGGAAGGGGACUGGGAGAGGAGAGAGAUGAAAAAGGAGUGGGCAAAGGCUACAAGAGAAGAGAAAGGAGAAGUACAGAAGUGGAUGGGGGUAAGAACCUGGACUGAUUUCUUUAGCUUCAGGUAGAAUCCUGUUUGCUUACAUCUUGACAAAGGCAAAGCAGCCAGGUGUAAUGACUAAGGGCAAUAAUGGAGGCAUUUGUGCAAUUCAGAAAGGAAAGGGUACAAGUGGCCAUAGCUGAGAGGUGGCAUCAGCUUGGUUCUCACCUUUCAAGAGACGACAUUGCACUUGGUCCGGCUUCCGUUGAUUGGAUCGUUGCAGCUUGUCUGUCACAAGUUCUUGUGUGUACCACUUUAGUAAUCAGAGAAACUGUUCCUAUCAAGAGGUAAGGGAUGCACCUUCUCCUAGCAAUAGAGUGGAAACCAACCAAUCUGAGUGUACUUUCAGCUGAAGGAAGUGAAUCUAUCCUUUGCUGUCAAAGGCUACAAGCAGUUUAGUCAGAAUAAAGCAAUAUACAGAACCAAAGCUUCUGAGAGGUUACAGAAAUAUCUACUUCUUCUAGUCAAAAAUAAGGAAACCACUUAUACCUACUAGAUUGCUAAGAAAACAGCUGAUUGUAAGGAGAGAAAAAGGAUAAACCAAUACAGCCAUUCAUCCCACAGAAGCAGGUCAUAUUUUGAGAUGCAAGGAUGACAGAUGGCUGUAGGAUACAGGAAGGAAUUAGCAGAUCCAUCCUUUUAAGGAGGUAAGAAAUACAAUACGCUAUUGCCAUAAUAGUCAAUGAUUCUGAUCAUACUUUCAGGUGGAAGAAAUGUAAAGGAUGAAAUCGUCACCUCUUGAAAGGGCACAAGAAGUUGCUGUACCGAAUAAAGCAAUAAAAAAGAGGGAGUUACCUGUUCAGAGGUAAGGAAAGUCGGUAAUUCUAACCGAUGAUCAUGACUUCUGCUCCUUUCCCCUACCCGGCUAAUGGUUGGUUGUUCCGACAAGGAUGUAUCACAGAAGAAGUGCAACUAACCAGAGUGUGAAGAUGAGCAUUUAAGCUGGUCUUAUAUUUGCAGAGAUGAGUUGUCCAGCUGAUUCUCUUUGUGCAGAAUGGAUCAUUGUUGCUUAUUUAUCAAAUGUGAAGAAGAAGUCAGUGGAAUUGAUCAUUUCUAUCAAGAGGUAAGGAAUGCACCUCCUCUCAGCACAGGGGCAGGAAUAACUGGCUCUGUUUCUAUUUUCAGGUGGAAUGAAGGUCUGACCAUUAAGGGGGCGGGGGAAGAUAAGAGGCUGCUGAAUUUAAUAAUAGUCAGACAGGUAACAAUAUCUGGCCAGGGGGAAGAAAAGCAUCUUUUACUUCAAGCUCAGAAAGAGGAAAGCAGCCAAUGAUAUGCUUCAAGUUGUAACCAGUGUAGCUGGCUGUACCUCUAAGAAUCAAAGCUUUGUGGUGAAACAUCAUUGAGAAGUAGGUGAGCACGAAAAAGUCUGUAGAAGCCUCAUGAUCUGGAUGGUAAGGAACCGUUUCUAUUGAUGACUCUUCAUAACUAGUAAUGAGUAACAAUAAUAAAUAAUUGUCAGGUUUUGCUAAUUGGAGAUGUGAACAGAACAGGUGGCCAUUCCUACCAGGGAGAAGUGAGGGUAAGUGGCUGUCCCGGGCAAGGAUGUAAGUGAUACCAGUCUCCAAACAUCCAUGUGUAUAUCAAGUGGUGUGGAGUUUUCUUUCAGGGAGAAGAACUGUGGUGGACCUUACUGUCAGGGGGAGAGUGUGAAAAGCAGAGGCAAGAGAAAGCAACAUGGACUAGCCAGCUGCUGAAUCCAUGGAGGACUCCAAUGAGAAGACGCUGUUAUUUCAAGGAACAACAAACAGAAAACAAACAGUCACUUCAAAUAGUUCAGCUAGUUGCAAAUCUGAAUAUGAAGGAAGUCAGCAGAACACAGACAUGGAGAUGAGAGAAACGCAGCUGAUUUGAACUUUGAGGGUGUGAAAACUUCAGGAAGUUGCGAGAAGAUCUGAGAUAUCUGCAGGAAGGAAACCAGUGAAACUCAUCACUGCUGCCAAGAGGUAAGGAACUCACCUCACAAUGGAGAAAUUAAUGGAUCUGGUUUCCCUUCAGGUGAAAGAAAUGCAGCUGAUCUGAUCUCCGAGGGGUUGAGGACUAUAAGCAGUCAUGUUACUGAAGAAUACAGGAACACAUGUUCCCAGACCUGCAGAGAGGGAAAAAAGUUGCCUUCCUUGACUAGAAUGGGAAGACAAUCCCUUAUCACCAUCAGGUUACAAACCCACAAUGCAGGAGGCCAUCACUGACAGAGAAGAAGAGUUACAGACGCUCAGGAUUUGAGCACAAGAAAUAGGAAUGGAGCUGAACAGAUCCAACACCUGAAAGGACAAUUGGAUCUCAUAAGAUAUGAGACCAUGAAAAAGACCCUUCAUUCAAUAAAGCAACAGAAUUGGCUCUGAGGAGAGGUAAGAAGCAUUUGGUAAAUCUACCAAACGAGCAUAUAAUCAAUUCUACAAAAUUGCUAACUUCCAUUGUGUCAAAGAGUUUGUUACAGCUGAUCACACAUCUCAGGAUCGAAGACGAGCUCAGGGGCACGGCAGACAUCAGGGAAUUCAUCUUUAUCUGGAGAUGAUGAACCUGCUUGUCAGUGCCUUUGGUUAGACUUUCAGAUGAAGGAAACACAGCCAGUGUGGUCAGUAUUCAAGAAAUAAUGUUAAAAGGUGCCUGGAGUCACCUCUUGGGCUAAGGGGAGCGGCUGGUCCCAUCUACCGGGAUGGAAGCAAAGAAGAAAGAACUGGCCACUGGUUAGUACUGGGACACAGACAAUACCGUGGAGGGGCUUGGGACAGGGUGUGUAACCAUAGUGACCAGUAGGUCCUUUCCCCACUGUGGUCCUGGCUCGCAUGCACAGGGUGAAACUGAUCGCCAUGUUUGGGGUCAGGAAGGAAUUUUCCUCCAGGGCAGAUUGGCCAGAGACCCUGGAGGUUUUUCGCCUUCCUCUGGGGCAUCGAGCAGGGACCAGCCCUUUGGGCCAUUUAGAAACUGACAAUAAAAUCCAUUAGAGAGA
This is a long non-coding RNA of Chelonia mydas (Green sea turtle), 5457 nucleotides long. RefSeq lists it as uncharacterized. The record is from RefSeq and is a predicted model, not a curated record. Lineage: Eukaryota; Metazoa; Chordata; Testudines; Cheloniidae. The transcript has 4 exons.